This 492-nucleotide ribosomal RNA is filed under the name uncultured bacterium. Its description in RNAcentral is "partial 16S ribosomal RNA". It matches the Rfam family "Bacterial small subunit ribosomal RNA", at positions 29 to 507 of the family's 1533-position model. The record is from RNAcentral.
AGUGAACGCUGGCGGUAGGCCUAACACAUGCAAGUCGAACGGCAGCACAGUAAGAGCUUGCUCUUACGGGUGGCGAGUGGCGGACGGGUGAGGAAUACAUCGGAAUCUACUUUUUCGUGGGGGAUAACGUAGGGACACUUACGCUACUACCGCAUACGACCUACGGGUGAAAGCAGGGGAUCUUCGGACCUUGCGCGAUUGAAUGAGCCGAUGUCGGAUUAGCUAGUUGGCGGGGUAAAGGCCCACCAAGGCGACGAUCCGUAGCUGGUCUGAGAGGAUGAUCAGCCACACUGGAACUGAGACACGGUCCAGACUCCUACGGGAGGCAGCAGUGGGGAAUAUUGGACAAUGGGCGCAAGCCUGAUCCAGCCAUACCGCGUGGGUGAAGAAGGCCUUCGGGUUGUAAAGCCCUUUUGUUGGGAAAGAAAAGCAGCAGGUUAAUACCCCGCUGUUCUGACGGUACCCAAAGAAUAAGCACCGGCUAACUUCGUG